This is a long non-coding RNA of Triticum aestivum (bread wheat), 794 nucleotides long. RefSeq lists it as uncharacterized. The transcript has 2 exons. NCBI's taxonomy places the organism in Eukaryota, Viridiplantae, Streptophyta, Magnoliopsida, Poales, Poaceae. The record is from RefSeq and is a predicted model, not a curated record.
GUGGGACGUCCUUAUCUUCUUCGCUCGAUCUAAAACAGAGCCAUCGCUCCCACGCCGCCGCCGUCGCCUUUGGAGAUAUCUCCCUCGGCAGCCAUGGGGAAGGAAAGAGACGAGGAUGGAGAGACCAAAGACAAAAAAACACGAGCAUCAUGGACCACUGCUCAACUUGACCUGCUCGUUUCUAUGAUGAAAGAGUAUGCAGAUGCUGCUAAAUUUCGUGGUUAGAAUGUAUACGGCUUCGAUGAUGGCCAACUCAUCAUCUUCUUGGUGUUUACGCUUCAAAAAAUCCCCCCACAUUGAUGGAGCAACUAGGAUGACUUACAGAGGAUAGAGACGAUCCAAAUAUCAAGUGAAUGUGCCGAGCGUGGCCGCGCGAUUCCAGUCCUGGCGCAGCUCUUCGUGCCCCUCGACAAUGACGGAUGACUGGCCAACUACGCCACGUGGUGGGUCGCCACCUCCACGUGUAGCUCGGUUGCGCCUCAAUGGUGACGCAAUGAAGGCCAAGCCUCUCCGUCUGUGUGUAGCUUCAUCACCAGAUGAGUCACAGGUGAGGCCGUGCCUUGGGCGGUCUUUUUUGUAUACACAAGAUACCCGUUCGGUUGUUAUGCGGGCUGAUGGUUAGGGAUAUCCAGCUAGCUAGCUACAAAAGCUCAACAGAAAUAGUAUUCAACCGGCCAGCCGCUUGCACUGCUUACGGCUAGGUAGCGUGUUUGAACGCAACGGCUAGGCUGGGCAACAAUACUAUGUUUUACGGCAACAACCAAACAGGUCACAGUAAUCUCAAUACUUCAAUA